RNAcentral lists this ribosomal RNA (497 nucleotides) under uncultured bacterium. RNAcentral's name for it is "partial 16S ribosomal RNA". It matches the Rfam family "Bacterial small subunit ribosomal RNA", at positions 28 to 507 of the family's 1533-position model. The record is from RNAcentral.
GAUGAACGCUGGCGGCGUGCCUAAUACAUGCAAGUCGAGCGAACGGACGAGAAGCUUGCUCCUCUGAUGUUAGCGGCGGACGGGUGAGUAACACGUGGAUAACCUACCUAUAAGACUGGGAUAACUUCGGGAAACCGGAGCUAAUACUGGAUAAUAUUUUGAACCGCAUGGUUCAAAAGUGAAAGACGGUCUUGCUGUCACAUAUAGAUGGAUCCGCGCUGCAUUAGCUAGUUGGUAAGGUAACGGCUUACCAAGGCAACGAUGCAUAGCCGACCUGAGAGGGUGAUCGGCCACACUGGAACUGAGACACGGUCCAGACUCCUACGGGAGGCAGCAGUAGGGAAUCUUCCGCAAUGGGCGAAAGCCUGACGGAGCAACACCGCGUGAGUGAUGAAGGUCUUCGGAUCGUAAAACUCUGUUAUUAGGGAAGAACAUAUGUGUAAGUAACUGUGCACAUCUUGACGGUACCUAAUCAGAAAGCCACGGCUAACUACGUG